This 392-nucleotide ribosomal RNA is filed under the name uncultured Gammaproteobacteria bacterium. RNAcentral describes it as "bacterial SSU rRNA". It matches the Rfam family "Bacterial small subunit ribosomal RNA", at positions 370 to 779 of the family's 1533-position model. The record is from RNAcentral. Lineage: Bacteria; Pseudomonadati; Pseudomonadota; Gammaproteobacteria.
AAUGGGGGCAACCCUGAUCCAGCGAUGCCGCGUGAGUGAAGAAGGCCUUAGGGUUGUAAAACUCUUUUACCCGUGAAGAUAAUGACGGUAGCGGGAGAAAAAGCUCCGGCUAACUCCGUGCCAGCAGCCGCGGUAAGACGGAGGGAGCAAGCGUUGUUCGGAAUAACUGGGCGUAAAGAGCGCGUAGGUUGUUGAAUGAGUUAGGCGUGAAAGCCCCAGGCUCAACCUGGGAAUAGCGUUUAAUACUGUUCGACUAGAGUUUGGUAGAGGAAAGUGGAAUUCCUAGUGUAGAGGUGAAAUUCGUAGAUAUUAGGAGGAACACCAGAGGCGAAGGCGGCUUUCUGGACCAAUACUGACGCUGAGGCGCGAAAGCGUGGGGAGCAAACAGGAUU